AGGGAAUAUUGCGCAAUGGGGGAAACCCUGACGCAGCGACGCCGCGUGAAGGAAGAAGGUUUUCGGAUCGUAAACUUCUUUGACUGGGGACGAAAGUAAUGACGGUACCCAGGGAACAAGCCACGGCUAACUACGUGCCAGCAGCCGCGGUAAUACGUAGGUGGCGAGCGUUGUCCGGAAUUACUGGGUGAAAAGGGCGUGUAGGCGGGAGAGCAAGUCAGAUGUGAAAGCCCAAGGCUCAACUUUGGGACUGCAUCUGAAACUGUUUUUCUUGAGUACUGGAGAGGGAAGCGGAAUUCCUAGUGUAGCGGUGAAAUGCGUAGAGAUUAGGAGGAACACCAGUGGCGAAGGCGGCUUCCUGGACAGAGACUGACGCUGAGGCGCGAAAGCGUGGGGAGCGAAC
Molecule: ribosomal RNA, 403 nt
Filed under: uncultured bacterium
Lineage: Bacteria
Description: bacterial SSU rRNA
Rfam family: Bacterial small subunit ribosomal RNA
Source: RNAcentral